UUUGUGACAUACCUAUAACUGUUGCUUCGGCGGGUAGGGUCUCCGUGACCCUCCCGGCCUCCCGCCCCCGGGCGGGUCGGCGCCCGCCGGAGGAUAACCAAACUCUGAUUUAACGACGUUUCUUCUGAGUGGUACAAGCAAAUAAUCAAAACUUUUAACAACGGAUCUCUUGGUUCUGGCAUCGAUGAAGAACGCAGCGAAAUGCGAUAAGUAAUGUGAAUUGCAGAAUUCAGUGAAUCAUCGAAUCUUUGAACGCACAUUGCGCCCGCCAGCAUUCUGGCGGGCAUGCCUGUUCGAGCGUCAUUUCAACCCUCAAGCUCUGCUUGGUGUUGGGGCCCUACAGCUGAUGUAGGCCCUCAAAGGUAGUGGCGGACCCUCCCGGAGCCUCCUUUGCGUAGUAACUUUACGUCUCGCAUUGGGAUCCGGAGGGACUCUUGCCGUAAAACCCCCAAUUUUCCAAAGGUUGACCUCGGAUCAGGUAGGAAUACCCGCUGAACUUAAGCAUAUCAUGACGGGAAAGAAA
RNAcentral lists this ribosomal RNA (523 nucleotides) under Colletotrichum sp. HS-EF7. RNAcentral describes it as "eukaryotic LSU rRNA". The stretch from base 150 to 303 matches the Rfam family "5.8S ribosomal RNA". Lineage: Eukaryota; Fungi; Ascomycota; Sordariomycetes; Glomerellales; Glomerellaceae. The record is from RNAcentral.